AUGGGCGGCGCCGCCGCCAAGCAUGGUGCUAUGACGAUGACCGCCGUCUACUACCACGACAUCAGCCUAUCUACUUACCUCAGUCGCAACGCCAAGCUCAGCUCCAUCAUCAACGCCAUGGCCAACUCUCACCAAUUCAGGCUUUCCCUGGACUGGGAACUCGUGAGGAGAAAGGCGUCGUUGGUGGUCUACGAAUUGCUUCUUGAGUCUCCAGAGUUGAGACGCCUGCUAAUACUGCCGCGGGAGACACUGAACCCGCAACAACUGCUUCCCAUCGGCUCUCGUCGUUCAAGACGUCACGUGAGGAAACAAGCCCGGCGGCCAACAUCAACUGCCAUGGCCAGGCUCUAUCUCAACACCAAGAGGAGGUACCUACGCUACAAGUACAACACGCAUGUUCAGUUCAGAAAGCUCACAUCCUGCACUGUUAGCAGAGUCUUUGAAGAGGGUGGCAGAUCUUAUCGAUCAAUGUUUAAGAAGUGGUAA
This 486-nucleotide ribosomal RNA is filed under the name Triticum aestivum (bread wheat). RNAcentral describes it as "partial small subunit ribosomal RNA". Lineage: Eukaryota; Viridiplantae; Streptophyta; Magnoliopsida; Poales; Poaceae. The record is from RNAcentral.